GGUCAAAAGAGAAGCUGGCUGACGUCACAACCUGAGACGAUCCUCCCCUUUCAUUUUCCCUUACUUCGAGCAGCUCAUUGUAGAACUGUUUCAGAAAAUCAUGACAGGCUCUCAACUAGACUUUGAUGCGACUCAGAAGCAUGGAAAAGCCUAACUAAGGAUGAGCGGGGAAUCAGUGCUGGCGAAAAAAGUCGAUCCGGAGGGGGCAUGGACAAAGAGGACACAGGCCUAAAAACAGAAUAUAGGAGCUAAUGUAUUUAAUCUUUCAUCGAGAACACUAACGUAGGUCUUGCAGGUGUCUAUAAAUGAGUUGCAUGAUUGUGCAAGCUGAGUCAAGUAAGAGCCAUCAUGUGGUAGACAACUAUGGGCCAAAACAGAUCUUGGA
Long non-coding RNA from Xenopus tropicalis (tropical clawed frog), 385 nucleotides. RefSeq lists it as uncharacterized. The record is from RefSeq and is a predicted model, not a curated record. NCBI's taxonomy places the organism in Eukaryota, Metazoa, Chordata, Amphibia, Anura, Pipidae. The transcript has 4 exons.